RNAcentral lists this long non-coding RNA (514 nucleotides) under Fukomys damarensis (Damara mole-rat). RNAcentral's name for it is "lncRNA (ENSFDAG00000029686.1)". The record is from RNAcentral. Lineage: Eukaryota; Metazoa; Chordata; Mammalia; Rodentia; Bathyergidae.
UGUGUUUGAUAUCGUAACAUUUGUGCUUUAGAAAAAAAAAAGGAAAGAAGGAACACAUACAUUGGCUUAUACACUGUAUAUUACAAAGGAUUCAAAAGCAACAGGUAACAUCAGCUAGGAAGAAAAGGAACUGCAUACCCAGGGGACAAAAGUGAGAAAAGACUUCACUACAUAUCCAUUUACACUUUUGAAAAUGUGUGGUGAACUGUGGAAAAUGUGAGUGUAUUACACUUAUUUGAUGUUGUAAGAAAAAAUUAAAAUGCCUCUCUAAUAUUACACCCUUUCCCCCUGUGCAGCCUUCAAAACACACUGGAAGAGGAAAGCAAAUGUGUUUAUUCUGCCUCACCCCAUUCUCCAAAAAGAAAUGGGAAACUUCUUUUUCUGAUGAGAAGAUGACCACCAUUUUAUGAUAACCUGAUUUAAUAUUUUGCAAAACCGCUAAUUCUUCCUUGAAAACUAGCCAUACAGACGUCUGAUUCUACUUCCUGUCAAUCAAGAAAAGAAACAUCACAAG